CCAGCUUAGUGACUGGUGUGUAGGCUCCUCAGAGUUCUCAUUUUCCUAAGACUCUAAAGCCCUUUUAGCUACACCUAAGUGACCUUAGUCAUCCUUUUCUGAGUUCUCAAGCAAUCAAAGAGCAGGAGCUCUAACUAAUUGUUGCCUUGAGAUCCACUCCACCUCUCUCUCCAGUCUUCUUCCAGGACCACCAACCAUGCAGGGAUUCUGCUAUUGUCUGUGGCUUUCAGCUGUCUUUGAAUUAGAAAUAGAAUGAAGACAACAAAUGAUAUGAAGAGAGUGGUUUGUCCAUUUGAGGGCAUUCCUGGACUGUGUUCCUUUCCACAGGGAGGGAGAAGAUCCCAUAGCAGCUUUGCAGUCCCUUACUGAUUUAUGCUCUGGAAGAUAAGACACGCUUUGCAAGAUUCAGCUGACGCAGACCUGCUGUGUCAUAUUACUUUCUUUGUCUUGCUGGAAAGAAGUGCAAAAUACCUAAGGAAACCUCCUUGUGGCCUCCAUUAACCCCAGCUAGCACCUACCAAAUCAGCAAAAUCCGAAAUAUGAUUUAAAUAAAUUAUGCUUAAAGAAAAAAC
This 572-nucleotide long non-coding RNA is filed under the name Homo sapiens (human). RNAcentral's name for it is "HSALNT0257877". Lineage: Eukaryota; Metazoa; Chordata; Mammalia; Primates; Hominidae. The record is from RNAcentral.